UCCCGUGUAGCUCAGUUGGUAGAACGUGGCACUUGUGUUGCUAGGGGUGUGGGUUCAAUUCCCACAGGGGAC
This 72-nucleotide transfer RNA is filed under the name Salmo salar (Atlantic salmon). It matches the Rfam family "tRNA". Rfam says of the family: Transfer RNA (tRNA) molecules are approximately 80 nucleotides in length. Their secondary structure includes four short double-helical elements and three loops (D, anti-codon, and T loops). Further hydrogen bonds mediate the characteristic L-shaped molecular structure. tRNAs have two regions of fundamental functional importance: the anti-codon, which is responsible for specific mRNA codon recognition, and the 3' end, to which the tRNAs corresponding amino acid is attached (by aminoacyl-tRNA synthetases). tRNAs cope with the degeneracy of the genetic code in two manners: having more than one tRNA (with a specific anti-codon) for a particular amino acid; and 'wobble' base-pairing, i.e. permitting non-standard base-pairing at the 3rd anti-codon position. The record is from Rfam by way of RNAcentral. Lineage: Eukaryota; Metazoa; Chordata; Actinopteri; Salmoniformes; Salmonidae.